This 665-nucleotide long non-coding RNA is filed under the name Sus scrofa (pig). RNAcentral describes it as "lncRNA (ENSSSCG00060067204.1)". The record is from RNAcentral. Lineage: Eukaryota; Metazoa; Chordata; Mammalia; Artiodactyla; Suidae.
GCAGCCGCCGGGGGAAGCGGAGUCUCCGCAAACUUGCUCUGAAUUCGCUGCAGGAACUUUGUGGCUGCUUUGCUUGGGCUGUUCUGGAAAACUGCGCUUGUUCUCUGAGCCCGGCCUUUUCAUGCUUCACAAAUAAACAGAGGAUAAACUCGGGAGGAAAUGUGGAGCUGGGGAGAGUGGUUGCAGUUCCUGUGUUUGUCUCCAGGACUGUGAUAUGUGUUGACUGCAGAGCUGACUACAACACUAUUUGCAAUAGCCAAGACAUGGAGACAACCUUAAUGUCCAUCGUCAGAGGAGUGGAUCAAGAAGAUGUGGUACAUAUACACAAUGGAAUAUUACUCAGCCACUAGAAAGAAUGAAAUACCAGCAUUUUUUGCAACAUGGAUGGACCUAGAAAUUAUCAUGAAAAGUGAAGUCUGCCAUACAAUGAGAUACCAAUAUCAAAUGCUUUCACUGACAUGUGGAAUCUGAAAAAAGGACAGACUGAAUUUCUUUGCAGAACAGAUACUGACUCACAGACAUUGAAAAAUUUAUGAUCUCUGGAGAAGACAGUUUGGGGGGUGGGGGGUAUGCUUGGGUUAUGGGAUGGAAAUCCUGUGAAAUUGGAUGUUAUGAUCAUUAUACAACUACAGAUGUGAUAAAUUCAUUUGGGUAAUAAAAAAAAG